UUUGCCUCAAACUACUGUAGGACGUGAAGCCUGACAUAGCAAAGCCUGCUAGAUGGUCAUAGAACCUGCAUCAACAAGGAUUUCCAGCAGACAUCCCAAAGAAGACAAUGAAAAGGAUGGGAGGCGUUGUCUGACAAGGAAGAAGUCCCUUAGUUUGUCUGAGAGUUCUGUUAAGCAAGGAAGAGAAAGAGGAGUAACCAGAGAAGUACAGAAACCAGUAAAGAUGAGAAUCAAAUCAGUGAUUACAGGAAGGAUAUCCCCGAAGAAACUUUUUCCAGAAAGAAGGCAUCCAAACAUGGCCCGGCUGCCAGAAUGAAGGAUCUUGGACAGAGCGAUACUCGUCAUCCUGAGAGAAAAGUUGGACAUGUUUUCCCUGUCAUCAGGACAAAGAGAGUAUGCCCCUGGAAGGACUUUCAGAGAAAGGCAUUCACCUGAUUAUGUUAACUCAGAUAAAAUGGUAAACACAAAUGAUCAAUUGGAUACCAUUGAUUUUCGAUCAGAAGAUUUUAAUGCCGGGUACAGGGAAAUUGGUAAAACACCGGCAUAAAAAAUCUUAUGGUCGUAAAAGAGAAUGGGGGUGAUGUAAUGAUUCUGGAAAGGAUGAGAGAAAGAAGGCUAAGAGAAAGAAGAAUCAAGAAAAAAAGGCUAUGGAAG
Molecule: long non-coding RNA, 654 nt
Organism: Dioscorea cayenensis subsp. rotundata (Guinea yam)
Lineage: Eukaryota; Viridiplantae; Streptophyta; Magnoliopsida; Dioscoreales; Dioscoreaceae
Exons: 4
Source: RefSeq, a predicted model, not a curated record